GUGGGGAAUAUUGCACAAUGGGCGCAAGCCUGAUGCAGCGACGCCGCGUGAGGGAUGGAGGCCUUCGGGUUGUAAACCUCUUUUAUCGGGGAGCAAGCGUGAGUGAGUUUACCCGUUGAAUAAGCACCGGCUAACUACGUGCCAGCAGCCGCGGUAAUACGUAGGGUGCAAGCGUUAUCCGGAAUUAUUGGGCGUAAAGGGCUCGUAGGCGGUUCGUCGCGUCCGGUGUGAAAGUCCAUCGCUUAACGGUGGAUCCGCGCCGGGUACGGGCGGGCUUGAGUGCGGUAGGGGAGACUGGAAUUCCCGGUGUAACGGUGGAAUGUGUAGAUAUCGGGAAGAACACCAAUGGCGAAGGCAGGUCUCUGGGCCGUUACUGACGCUGAGGAGCGAAAGCGUGGGGAGCGAACAGGA
RNAcentral lists this ribosomal RNA (411 nucleotides) under uncultured bacterium. RNAcentral describes it as "bacterial SSU rRNA". It matches the Rfam family "Bacterial small subunit ribosomal RNA", at positions 354 to 777 of the family's 1533-position model. The record is from RNAcentral.